Molecule: long non-coding RNA, 562 nt
Filed under: Sinocyclocheilus grahami
Lineage: Eukaryota; Metazoa; Chordata; Actinopteri; Cypriniformes; Cyprinidae
Description: lncRNA (ENSSGRG00000015975.1)
Source: RNAcentral
ACUCUAAACACUGAUACCGAACUACGGAGAGAUGAUUUCAUGCUGUGGAUGGUGGGAGACACUGUCAUUGCUGAGAUCAGUCAAACAGCCCAACGGUUCCCUACAUCUGAAGGUACCGAGAGAUUCAGAGACAGACUGAAUCUGGAUCAUCAGACUGGAUCUCUGAACAUCACAAACACCAGAAGAACCACAGACUCUGGUCUUUAUGAACUGAAGAUCAGCAGCAGCAGACACACCAUACUCAGGAGAAUCAUUGUCACUGUCACUGCCAGUGUCAGUGCUCUUUGUUAUUCAGGUACUCCGUCUACAACUUGUGUAUGGAUUAAUUGUGUUAUUGGUGCUCUGGGGGUUCUAGCUGUAGUUCUUGUAGUGAAACACUAUCACAACAAGAUCUCUGAACUAGAAAGACGUUUGGAAGAGAAUGGAAAAAAACUUAAGAAACAGGACACAGAUGAUCCUGCGAAUGAAGAGACUAAAUUGACCAACGAUCCUUGAAACAGAGAACAGCAGUAGUUUAUAGUCACUAUACAGUAACAAUAUACACGAAAUGUGUAUGAAGUCG